CUCAGUUUCCCUCUACCCUGAGUAACAUCUGAUCCUAUGACUAUCGUGGUCCCUCAGUUCCUGAUCAACAUGCUUCCAGUUGCAGAAAAAGGAAUGCAGGCCAGAUCUAGGAGGAGAUUAUAAAACCAUCAUCUUUUCCUAAGGACAAUCAAGGCAUCAAAGAGCCCCUAGUCAGCCC
This 178-nucleotide long non-coding RNA is filed under the name Gorilla gorilla gorilla (western lowland gorilla). Its description in RNAcentral is "lncRNA (ENSGGOG00000044293.1)". Lineage: Eukaryota; Metazoa; Chordata; Mammalia; Primates; Hominidae. The record is from RNAcentral.